GGACUAAUUAGUGGCUUAUUUAAGAAGAAAGCUUCUAAAUUCCCUGCCACAAGUUCACACAAACUCGUUGUAGAUUCAACAGUAAAAGCUGCAGAAUGUGGAGAUAAAACCACAUUAUCCAUUGCAAAUAGCUUUUCAUCAACAUGAGGUUCAUUCUCAAACACAUCCAAACCAGCACCAGCAAUUUCUCCUUCCAUCAAACACUUGAUCAAUUGUUUCUCAUCAAUAAGACCACCUCUUCCAACAUUUACAAUAAACCCUUCUUUUCCUAAUGCCAAAAGGACAUCUUUGUUUACUAUGUGUCGUGUUUGGUUGUUUAGUGCACAACAUACCACAAGUGCGUCGCUAGAAGUUGCAAGAUCAAUAACAUUGGAAUAGAAAGGGUACGAAAUUGAUGUUUUUUGAUGCUUAGAGUUGUACGAGAUAAUGCAAUCAAAUGACUCGAGUCGCUUGGCAACUUCCAUGCCAAUACUUCCUAAUCCAACAAUUCCAACUCGCUUGCCUGAUAACUAAAACAAUGAAAAACAAAACCUUUGGUACAUGUUUGGCUGUGUGACGAAUCAGUAUUAUUCAAGACAAAAUGUUUAUAUAUAAAAAAUAAAAUAAAGCAAUGAAAAUGCGAACCUUGUAUCCAAGAGGGAAAUCCCAAGGAUCAGAACGUUCCCGCCGCGUCCUCACAUACCGAUUCGCCACCGUCACCUUCCUCAUGACAGCAAUCAGCAACGCCACUGCCACAUCAGCCACAUCCUCCGAGAAAACUCCUCCAGCACCGGCAACCUGAAUUCCGCGACGACGGCACUCAUUAAGGUCAAUGUGAUCAGUUCCAACACUGGAAGUAACGACGAGACUGAGCGAGGGAAGAAGGUUGAGAACGUCGGUGGUGAUGGAAUAUGCGGCGCUGCAGAAUAUGGCGGGAAUUGUUGAUGGGUUGUGGUUGUGGGAAAGGAUGAAUUGUUGCAGUGAUAGGCCUGAGGGUUUGGGGUUUAGGAAAUUGAAUUUGUGAGAGUAGAGUGAUUCGAAGGUGGAGAAACAUGUUGGUGGACCAAGAACAAGUACUUUUGGAAGGUCUUUGGCCAUUGAAUUUUAAGGAUUUGUGGUGUUUGAGAAAGGGAUGAACUUAGCACUUUUAUUUGGAUGACACUCAAAACUGUGGCUAGAAACUCCUCUUAAUUAUUUCUCUGUAUCACUUGACUUCCAUGAAGCGCGAACAUGCCUUAGAUUAGACGUAUUUCGGUGUCGGAUACAUGUUAUUUCUGAACCGACACUUAUAAUUACACUGAAUUAUUUAAUUUUUUUUAUAUUUUAGCUGUGUCGAUAUCCGUGUCGUGUCUGUGUUCGUAUUCGUGCUUCAUAGCUUGAGUUUCAAUCAUUAGUUUUUUUUUUUUUUUUAAUGAUAAGUUUAGAUGUGUUAGACUCUUGAGCUCACCCGAUAAAAAGAAAACACGUGUUUAGUAAACUUAAAAAUCACAUUAAAAACUUGUUGAAGCUACGAAUUGUAAUUGUAGGUAGAGUUUUUCAAUUGUGCGUUUAUCUCCACAUCAAAUUUGGAUGCAAACAUGUUAUCAAAGAACAAUUUAAAAAAAGAAAACAAAUUGAGUUCAAGUGGUUUGUAAACUCAAGUUAAAUAUAAAACUUAUGAGAAAAUUUGGACACUUGAUACACCCGAAUUCGGAAUAAUGGAAAAUAACUCGAAGCUGAAAAUUAAUAUUGCGUGAAAUUUAUACAAUGUAAUUUGUUAUUUGUAUUGAGUUAAAAGUUGAGAAAUUUUGCCAUGUGAUUCUUUGUUUUAUCAUAAACAGAUGACGACAUUAGGAUAUGGACAUAACCUAUAGUUGUGAAUUUGGAAGAGUGCUUGAUGGACCACUUCAGUAUGCACUUUUCUUGUCGUUUACAGCGAUUUUUGGUUAACGGUGAAGUGUGCUAAAUUCAACCAGUAAUUAAUGUUGGAUAAAUUAGUCGUUAUGUCCUUAGAACACAUAUUAACCAAUCUAAAAUAGAAACAUUCUCUUGUAUUUUGUGCAUUAAAUUGAUCAAAAAUAAAAAAUUAUAUUUAAAUGCAUUAAUUACAACAAAUUAUUUUCACUUAUAACUCAUUAACUUGUGCCUUAUGAGCACGUUAACAUUUUCCAUUAAUGUUUCAUUUAUCCACUGUCCACACUUACUUUUAUCUAUUGGUUUUUUUUUCUUUUUCUUUGAGAGAUUUUAUUGGUUUUCUUUUCUUCGCUUCAGUUAAACCAUUUAAUAUUCUCUCUCUAAAAAAAAACCUGCGUCCGCUCGUAAGUGACCCUAAAUAUGAUUGCACCUUCGCUGAUGUUGGCUUCUGCCGGUUUUGGGUUUUUAUUUGGCUUAUUUCCAAUCUAUUUUGGUUGUGCUACCUUUCCACCGAUUGUCUAUCAUAAGAAUUUGUUUCCUAAAUUCUAUUGGGCCGAUCGCUUUUGAUUCGAGAUCAGGAGUUAGUUAGUUUCAAAUUUUUGGGAUUGUUUUGGUGUUUGGGAGUUGAGGGGUGCCUUAAUAAUUUGUUUAUGGAGUCUGGUGGACCGAUCGCUUUGAUUCGAGAUCGAAAGUCAGUGUCGUGACUUAAGUUUUUGGGUUUGUUAUGGUGUCAUCUCCAACGUAUCGGGGGUCCAGUGGUGUGGGGGAAACUGAAGGAGUGUUGGAAUUAGGGGUGUUCAAAACUGAACCAAUCUAAAAGAAAAACCGCAAACCGAACCAAACCAAACCGCAUACUUAUUUAUUUUGUGGUUCGAAUGACUUUUAACCUCAAAACCGAACCAAACCGCACCGCGAACACCCCUACUUGGAAUAAGUCAUUAGUCAAUACUCUAGUGUUUAAUUGGGCUCAACUGUGGUGUUGAAGUUCUAUUUUAAGGGGUUUGAUCACUGGGAUGAUUUAUUGGAGGGGUUAUGGUGAGUAGUAUUCGAUAUUUGAUUGAAUUUUCUGUCCGUGGUCACUUGCGAGAAAGCGUGAGGUUUUAACUUUGAUUUUGGUUUUGGUGGUUAUAUUUUUUUUUUGUGUGGUGGUGGUAGCCCUUAAUAUAGGUGUUGAUAUGGUUUUCUUUUAGGUGUUCCGCUUAAUAUGACGCCUUGAUUUUAUAAUUUAUGUUUAUUAGUACCUGUUCGUUUGUGCAAGGACUUAAUCAUUACUAAAUUUUGCUGUUAAAAAAAUAUAUUAAUGUUUCAUUUGUUAACCGUAUAAGAUCUUGAACGAGUUGAUUGAUAACCUAAAUGACCUUACUCGUGUGUGUGUUUUAUAAAGUUUUUGGUCUAGAAGGGAUGUGACUUUGAGAGUUACUAGUUUGAAAUAGAAAUUAAAGACACAAAAAGCAAAUAAAAUAUUGCGUUCAAAUUAAACAAGAAAAAUAAUUGGACUGGAAGUAGAUUGACAAAGAACAUAAAUUGACUUGAAAUGUAAAAAGGUUCAACCAAGUGGAAAGCUGCUUGACAUUAAAGGCUUCAAAUUGUAAAUGUUUGAAGCUUUAGAAGACUCGAAAGUAAAUUGCUGAAAAGUAAAGUGUGAAAAGAUAAAGGUUUUAACAGGAACCUCAAUGGUUUACACAUUAUGAACCAUGAUUAGGAUUACAUAAUGCAAUUUUGCCCAUCGAGAAUUGCCUUAUGAUGGUAAACAUAUUUCUUAUAUGGUAUCAACUAGGUUUCGAUCCAACUUUUCCCUAUCUGCCGGCACAACCACAAACAACGGGCACCAUCAAAAUUUCACCUGUUUUUGCCAUCACCAAAGUUAAAUCCAUCACAUCGAUGACAUUGGAUAGCGAUUUCAACCUCUAUCUCUCAUGAUCAGCAUUGCUUAAGGUCCAAACAUGCAUUCAUAACGUGCUUGACCACAUCAUCCCACCUACUGAUGAGGAGGUAGGUCAAAAAGUGGACACCACUAAAAACAACGACCUAGAUAUAUGGAAGCAUCUCAACGCAGUUGUCCUCCCGUAAAUGUACGCUAGUAUACGCCAUUCUUACACAUGACAUCCUCAACUCCAUUCUCCUCAAUGACGACUCGACUGAACUAUGUUGAAGAAUUAUUUUAUUUAUACACCUUAAUGAACUUAUUGAUCACGAACCAUAUAAAAAUAACUAAAAUUUGAUACUUAAUAAACUCUGAACUUAACAUUCUUCAUAGCCGAUCUCUCAAACUAGUAGCGCAUAUCGAUCAUUACAAACUUGACCUAAAAACACCAUAAGAACAAACAUGUUCAAAAGGAUGCAACAUAGGAACAAAAAAAAUGUGAAAAACAUUUCAUAGUCUACUUGGUAACGCGGUGGGAUGAAGGAAACACACGGCGAAUGAUAACACUGAAUUUGAGAUUUCCAAAUACACAUAACGCAUCCAAUCAACUAUAUAACCGGAGUAAUCGGAGCUUUAUUUGAAAAGAAUGCUGUCAAAUUUUGUUCCACAAUUUGGCGGAUACCCAUCAAAGACUCAGAAGUUACAACAGCUGCAUGAGGUGAAAGGACAACAUUAUCCAAUGAAAAGAAGUCUUUAGGAACAUGAGGUUCAUUCUCAAACACAUCCAAACCAGCACCUCCAAUUUCAUCUUCAAUCAAAC
This 4556-nucleotide long non-coding RNA is filed under the name Medicago truncatula (barrel medic). Its description in RNAcentral is "long non-coding RNA (MTRU_LNC006042)". The record is from RNAcentral. Lineage: Eukaryota; Viridiplantae; Streptophyta; Magnoliopsida; Fabales; Fabaceae.